UUGGGAAUCUUGCACAAUGGGGGAAACCCUGAUGCAGCGACGCCGCGUGGAGGAUGACGGGUCUAGGCCUGUAAACUCCUUUUAUCAGGAAAGACUUAGGACGGUACCUGAUGAAUAAGCCCCGGCUAACUACGUGCCAGCAGCCGCGGUAAUACGUAGGGGACGAGCGUUGUCCGGAUUUACUGGGCGUAAAGGGCGCGUAGGCGGUCAUUUAAGUCAGCUGUGAAAUGGUUUGGCUUAACCGGAUCAUGCGGUUGAAACUGGAUGACUGGAGUGCUGGAGAGGCAAGUGGAAUUCCCAGUGUAGCGGUGAAAUGCGUAGAUUUUGGGAAGAACACCGGUGGCGAGGGCGACUUGCUGGCCAGCAACUGACGCUGAGGCGCGAAAGCCAGGGGAGCAAACG
RNAcentral lists this ribosomal RNA (402 nucleotides) under uncultured bacterium. Its description in RNAcentral is "bacterial SSU rRNA". It matches the Rfam family "Bacterial small subunit ribosomal RNA", at positions 355 to 774 of the family's 1533-position model. The record is from RNAcentral.